UACGAAGGUGGCAAGCGUUGUUCGGAUUUACUGGGCGUACAGGGAGCGUAGGCGGUUGGAUAAGCCCUCCGUGAAAUCUCCAGGCUUAACCUGGAAAGUGCAGAGGGGACUGUUCAGCUAGAGGAUGGGAGAGGAGCGCGGAAUUCCCGGUGUAGCGGUGAAAUGCGUAGAGAUCGGGAGGAAGGCGGGUGGCGAAGGCGGCGCUCUGGAACAUUUCUGACGCUGAGGCUCGAAAGCGUGGGGAGCAAACAGG
This 253-nucleotide ribosomal RNA is filed under the name uncultured bacterium. RNAcentral describes it as "partial 16S ribosomal RNA". It matches the Rfam family "Bacterial small subunit ribosomal RNA", at positions 524 to 776 of the family's 1533-position model. The record is from RNAcentral.